RNAcentral lists this long non-coding RNA (4057 nucleotides) under Sus scrofa (pig). RNAcentral's name for it is "lncRNA (ENSSSCG00015048413.1)". Lineage: Eukaryota; Metazoa; Chordata; Mammalia; Artiodactyla; Suidae. The record is from RNAcentral.
UUCUCUAAAAUUUAUUUACAGUUAAUAAAUUAAAAAGCAAAGUACAACCAGAUUAUAAAUCUUAAUCAUAUGCACAUCAAACUGUCCAAGGAAACAAUUCGGUUCCAUUACAAACAAUUGCCUUCAAAUGCACUUAAGACAUAACAGUCUAUCAAAAAAUAUUUCAAACACACCAAUAAAGUAAAUAUUAUGUAUAUAUGUCCACCAAAACCCACCAAUUUAAAGAGUGCUGUGGCAACCCUUAAAACAACAAAGUUUUGAAUUCAAAACCUCAUUUUUUUGUAUUCAAAUAUUUUUGAUGUUUUUUUAACUGAAUGAGUUUUCAGAAAAAUAGUAGUAUCAUUUGCAAGUAGCAAAUCAAUAGGUGUCAGCCACCAGCUUAGUUACACGUGUCCAACAGGGGACUCAAACUUUGACAAAAUAAAUACACACCACAACAGCAACACUUUGCACUAUCAACAACAAAGCUUACCCUCAACAAUCAUGACAUUACUGAUUUCAGCAUGGAAAAAUAAGUUGCUGGUUGACAGGAAGGAGGAUAAAAAUGACAUCAGGAAUCUCAAAAAGUUAGCUGAGGUGCCAGUCACCAUAUUUAGGCACUCAAGAGUUAAAAAUUAAAUAAAAGCAUAGUGAGGUGAUAAACUUCCUCCUAGCUUCCCUAUUUGUGCCAUACGAGAUAGAAGAUAAUCUUAUAAGAGAGUGAAUAAAGAUCAUGGGAUGUCUUUUAAAAAACUAUAUACAAGCUAAGCUACAGACUUACUUUAGAGGACAGGAAAUGGAUGCCUCACCAGAAAGGCCACCUUGCCAAGUUCCUUUCCACAUUCUGCCCAAUGUACCCAUGAAUACUUUCACUUUCCUAUUAACACACCAACCAUCUAUAUUAGUUGUUUCUUCACAUUUUAGAAGAUGUAACAUACGUUUGGCUAAAGAACACUUGGCAAAAAUAAAAGUUUUUUUUACAUCUCAUUUCACAAACUAGAAAUGGCAUGAUUUUUAAAUAAACCAGAUAAAUAAUAUAUUGAAUUCAAGAUGGGCAAUCCAACCCAAACUGAAAUCAGAUAGCCCAGACAAUCCAAAGAAGCAUUUAUGCUAGUUCAAGAGCACUAAAGUAACAAGGCAUGAGGAAAAAAUGUUAAGAAUCUCAGUUAAAAUGCAUGGUGUCAAUAGUUGUUUCAGUUUUGUGCUGAGCAAAGUUAUCCUCCCAGCUAGGUCUAAUUUCAAAAUCCUCUGUGAAAUUAUCUAGAUAAGCUAUAUGUUGAAAUCACAUUCUAAUAUGGCCAUUGAAUUUAUUAUAAAACUAUAUACAAUAGUGAGUGGUACAAAUACAUAUUUUUUUCCUCAGGGGCUAGUUUGCUAAAAAAAUGGUAACAAUUCAGUAGCAGGGGGAGGGAGGAGAAAACUCUACUGUAUCUGAAAUACGAUUGGCAAUGGAAGCUAAUAACCAAAAGAAUAUAUAUAAGCUUCCUUUCACAAAGAUAUAAUUUAACACUCUUCAUCAUCUAAGUAAUUAUCCACUUUUAUUUAUUCGUGUGACAGUGUCGGUAACAAUGCAUUUUCAUUGAGUAUGAAUAAAAGAAUACGAGGCAUACUGGGAAACUGGCAUAAAGUCAUAUUAUAUAUAUAAUUUUUUUUUCUUUACAAAACAAGUACACUGAAAUUAAAGUCACAAAACUCCUACUUAUGGACUAUUAAAGUUGAAAUUUUCAAUUCAGAAAGCAAUAGCAUUUGAAUUCUAAGAUCGCAAGAGUCAAAAUUGCAACUCUUAUUAAAAUAAUUCUCCUAAGAAGCUGCCAAGCAGAGAUAAGCCUUAAUAUUAAGGAUAUCGUAUGUCAAGUUCUAGCCAGUAUGAAUCAUUCCAUGGCAGAAUACUUAAAUUUGAAAAAUAGUGGUACAAAACACUACUUGACCCUUUAGAUAUUGCAGUAAAAUCUGGCUGUGGCACCACUGGCUAAAAACCAUUAAGUCUUGCUGCCACCAAUGACCAAAGGCACUUGGAUAAUCAAGAAUUCCACACUGGGCCAUAUGGUAUAAAUGCUAUUAUAAAAGUGUAAAAGAAGGGUCAGUACUGUGUGACUCGCCUGAUCAAUGAUUCCUGUGGUCUUCAGCUGUCAACAAAGACCAGUAACUACAAACAUAAUUACAAAUGGAAUUAAGAUUUUUUUAAAAGUUAACUCAUGGAGCAAAAGUCAACUAAUUGUCAUAAUGUUUAUAAGAAUAAUGGAUAUUAUUCUGGGCAUUUCUUGCUAUCCAACAACAGAAAGUAAAGAAAGAGAUCUAUUUUGCCCAAAGUAACUUCAACCAGUUAUUUGAUACCAAGAAAUGCCCCCACCCCUCUAGAUGACUAAUAGUUCUGAGAAUUCUAAUGGGUAUUCUGUUUAUCAUUUUAAUCACAAAGUUUGAACACAUUUAUUUCUUCUCUGCUAUUUGCAAUUUAAAAUAGGUUAUCCUUCAACUAUUCCUGGAUUUGUAUGUUAGACCAGUACAAUGAAGCCAAAUCAUUUCCAAUAGGAUUCCAUCCAUCUCUUUAACCAACACCAGUUCUUUGUAACUAAUUUUUCUUUAUCACAAGCCAUGUGGUUUCAAUGCACUUUAAUUUUUAUUUAAUUAAAAAGAAUCUUAACAAGUCAGCUUUUCCUAAACAGAACUUCAUAUGAGUUUAUACCAUUUUAUUUAGGAGCUCAGUAAAUAUAAACAUUAAAUUUCAAUAUAAAAUCUUUAGGAACACCUCAAAAAUGUUCAAACAGUUGUACUUUGCAUCUCUUUGUUUGUAAUCACUGAGCCCAUGGAAUUCAAAGCAUACAAAUCCUUGCACUAUUACAGUCAUAAGCUUGAAUCUCUUAGAAAAAUAUCCUUGGUCAGAGCUUUGGAAUCCGGUUAAAAUUAGGAAACGAAUGGGAUUCAGAAUACCCUGAGUACAAAACAGGUUCAAUCUUUCGUCCAGAAAGAGGGGUGGCAGUUGCAAAGAAAAAUGGGGUGGGGGGGGAGGAUUUGGGGGGAAAGCAAGUAGAUUCUGGCUUUAUUACACAAACACAAAACCAAAUUCCUUUGGAAAAAUAACGACUUCUUCAGAGAACUUCCAGACCAGUGAGGUAGAGUCCAAAGGGAGAAAACGGAUCUGCCCCUCCAGUCCUGGAGAUGUCUCAGUCCGGGGUAAGGAAGCAUAGGGCCCUCCCCUGCGGGUCCGGCUGUCUCCUCCUCCGCAGCCCGGGCGCCAGGAGGCAGCGGAGGGCACACCUGUCCCUGAGCCCCAGACGGCGGCGCCGCGAGGCCGGGAAAAGCAUCCGGUGACUUCUUUGCCCGUAAAGUGCACGAGGGGACGGGGUCCUGGCCGGAUCUGUAAACACUCGACUGACACUUGUCCAUCCCUCCAGGCGGAAGCCCCGUCCCUGGCCGGGAAGCCGUCGCGGGCUGCGUUUCACGCCCGGGGCACGGGGAAGCGGCGGAGCCUCACCACGGGUUCCAGGUUCACUCGCAGGACUUGGCUUGCCCGGCGCCGCGCCGCCGCCAGGCUGCGCUCGCCCCACACGUCGCCGCCGACGCGAAUGGUGGGAAAGGUGGUCAGCGUCGGGGUGGCCGCCCUCCAGAUCUCCUCCAGGGUGCGGCCCCCGAAGCAGGGCCCGGGCGCCGCGGGCUUGGCAGGGCAGCUCUCCUCGGGGGCCGGCAGCGGCGACAGCGGCGGCGGUGGCGGGGGCUUCCUCCGGCGGGCGGCGGGCGCCCGGGCUCCGCGGCGCCUCCUCCUGGCCGCCGCACUCGGUGCUGGCCUGCGUGUCCGGCCGCGGGCAGCGGGGGGUCCCGGGGGGUCGGGGACCAGGGCCCGGCAGGAGGAGUAGCCGUAGACGUCCUUGCUGCGCAGGAUAUGCGGGGAGAACUGGUGCUUAAGGCUGCAGAGGAAGCUCCAGAGCUCCGCGUCCGAGCUCAUGAACUCCGUGCUGCGGGGCAUGAACAGCUUGAAGGCGUCGCCCAGCGCCUUGGUGCUGUCGGCCAGCGACAGUUGAGACCGCGAGUAUACCACCUUCUCCUCCCGCGCCUCCAGCUCGGGCCCUGCUCCCGCCCUAAA